This 468-nucleotide ribosomal RNA is filed under the name uncultured bacterium. RNAcentral's name for it is "partial 16S ribosomal RNA". The stretch from base 20 to 332 matches the Rfam family "Bacterial small subunit ribosomal RNA", at positions 47 to 358 of the family's 1533-position model. The record is from RNAcentral.
GACGAACGCUGGCGGCGUGCUUAACACAUGCAAGUCGAACGGAAAGGCCCUGCUUUUGUGGGGUGCUCGAGUGGCGAACGGGCGAGUAACACGUGAGUAACCUGCCCUUGACUUUGGGAUAACUUCAGGAAACUGGGGCUAAUACCGGAUAGGAGCUCCUGCUGCAUGGUGGGGGUUGGAAAGUUUCGGCGGUUGGGGAUGGACUCGCGGCUUAUCAGCUUGUUGGUGGGGUAGUGGCUUACCAAGGCUUUGACGGGUAGCCGGCCUGAGAGGGUGACCGGAAGGAGUGGGGAGGAUGUGAGGACGGGAGUACUACGGGGGGCGGAAGUGGGGGGGGGUGCGGGGGGGGCGGGGGUGUGGUGCAGCAACGGCGGGUGCGGGAGGGGGGGCGUCGGGGAGUAGGCAAGAGGCGCCGGUGACGAAGGGGGAAGGAAGGGAAUGAGUAAAGAAGAAAGGGAGAAGUAUGAA